Small nuclear RNA from Nerophis ophidion (straightnose pipefish), 141 nucleotides. RefSeq annotates it as U4 spliceosomal RNA. NCBI's taxonomy places the organism in Eukaryota, Metazoa, Chordata, Actinopteri, Syngnathiformes, Syngnathidae. The transcript has a single exon. The record is from RefSeq and is a predicted model, not a curated record.
GUCUUUGUGCAGUGACAGUAUCAUAGCUUAUGAGAAUUUUCUGGCGGGUGAUUAUUGCUAUUUGAAAACUUUACCCAAUACCCUGCUUUGAUGGCUGGAAACAUAGUGAGCUGUUGCAAAUUAUGGUAGUCUCCAUUGAGA